UACGUAGGUGGCGAGCGUUGUCCGGAUUUACUGGGCGUAAAGCGCACGUAGGCGGCUUUGCAAGUUAGAGGUGAAAGCCCGGGGCUCAACUCCGGAAUUGCCUUUAAAACUGCAUCGCUAGAAUUGUGGAGAGGUAAGUGGAAUUCCGAGUGUAGAGGUGAAAUUCGUAGAUAUUCGGAAGAACACCAGUGGCGAAGGCGACUUACUGGACACAUAUUGACGCUGAGGUGCGAAAGCGUGGGGAGCAAACAGG
RNAcentral lists this ribosomal RNA (253 nucleotides) under uncultured bacterium. RNAcentral's name for it is "partial 16S ribosomal RNA". It matches the Rfam family "Bacterial small subunit ribosomal RNA", at positions 524 to 776 of the family's 1533-position model. The record is from RNAcentral.